CCUACGGGAGGCAGCAGUGGGGAAUAUUGCGCAAUGGGCGAAAGCCUGACGCAGCGACGCCGCGUGAGGGAUGAAGGUCUUCGGAUCGGUAACCUCUGUCAGCAGGGAAGAACGGUCACUGUGCUAAUCAGCAGUGAAUUGACGGUACCUGCAAAGGAAGCACCGGCUAACUCCGUGCCAGCAGCCGCGGUAAUACGGAGGGUGCGAGCGUUAAUCGGAAUUACUGCGCGUAAGGGGCUCGUAGGCGGGAUGUCAAGUCAAGGGUGAAAUCCCCGCGCUCAACGUGGGAACUGCCUUUGAAACUGGCAAACUGGAGUGUGUGAGAGGAUAGUGGAAUUCCAGGUGUAGGAGUGAAAUCCGUAGAUAUCUGGAGGAACAUCAGUGGCGAAGGCGACUAUCUGGCACAUAACUGACGCUGAGGAGCGAAAGCGUGGGUAGCAAACAGGAUUAGAUACCCGGGUAGUC
RNAcentral lists this ribosomal RNA (465 nucleotides) under uncultured bacterium. Its description in RNAcentral is "partial 16S ribosomal RNA". It matches the Rfam family "Bacterial small subunit ribosomal RNA", at positions 338 to 795 of the family's 1533-position model. The record is from RNAcentral.